RNAcentral lists this long non-coding RNA (1045 nucleotides) under Brassica rapa (field mustard). RNAcentral describes it as "long non-coding RNA (BRAP_LNC001086)". The record is from RNAcentral. Lineage: Eukaryota; Viridiplantae; Streptophyta; Magnoliopsida; Brassicales; Brassicaceae.
CUAUAUCUGACCACACAUUACCUGGCUCCAAAACUAAUCUUCCACAUGAGUCCCCUCAUAAGUCGUCUGACCCUAACAACAUAACCACCUUUAGUCACAAGCCCACUUGUCUUUAGGAGUAAUUUCGACCUAAAAAUACACACCACAAGCUCGAAGUCCACUUCAUGUAAAAAUAACUUGUUAUGUUUAGAGCUUAAAGUAUGUCAAACUAUAAACCUCUCUUUAAACUUUUAAUCGUGUCACCGUUGAAAACAAAGUGAUCAUAUAUAUAUAUAUAUAUCUCCACGGUCAAAUGAAAUAAAAGAUCUCCUUCUUCUACAGAAUUAUUAUCUCCUCCCGUUGCGUUGGGUGAUGAUCUUCUGAAUGGCGCUAGAAAAUCUCCCCGCUCCUUUGGUUGACUUCCUCUAAAUCAUAUCGCCUCUCUAUAUUCAAUAUUUCUCAAAUAAAUGGCGAGAUCGAUCGAACACAUACAAAAGUGCAGAAGCGUAUAGGCAAAGGGUAAAGUAAUCGAUUCUUUGAGAGACGAUCCGAUCCCUCUUCAGGUCCGAAGCUUUUUUCUAGAAAGUUUUGUUUUUAAAAGUUUUGAUCCCUGCUAAUGUUUUUUUCUUAUAGGAUCCGUGCAGUUUGAUACCAUUCUUGAAGGAAUGUACAUCAUCAGCCUAAAACUCAUUGUGGGAUCAGGAGAAAGACUCGUGGUUCAAAUGGUUGCUUCUACUUGUCAAGUCUCAACCAAACAACAUUGCUGUCUCUCCUUCAGGUACUAUCUGGACUGGUCACUAUGUUAGUUUGGGUUGACAUGAUUUACAGAUUGAUUGUUUAGUUGCUUCUAUCCAUUAUGGUUUUGCCACAUUAUUAUCGGAGUAUUGUACAAAAUCAUUAAACGUUGUUAAAUUGCUUUCAGAUUGCUAGUUUGAAACUUGUGCUCUGGCUAGAAAGGAGAACGAGUCGGAUCAACCUUCUAAGAAGAAAGUCACUUGGCGUCUCUUCCAAAAUAAGCUAACAUUUAAAAGAAAACAAUCACUUUCAUAAUUUGUACUUUUUUGCC